CCUUACGUCGCCUAUUUAAUAUCGAGGAAAUUUAUAUUUGGGAUUCAUUUACUGAGUUCCUGUACAAGGUUUACAGUCUGAAAAAUUACGUUAUACUUAACAAUUAUAAUAUUUAAAAAAGACCUUAACCUUUUCUCCUCUAGAUAUUACUUGAAUUCUACGAUAACGAUAAAUCUAUAUUAUGCGGAAUUUUCAGAAAAAAAUAACUAUUUAAAAAUAACUGCUAUGUUUAUUCAUACUUAAUAUAAAAUUAAUAUACACUUAUAAUUAUUAACUACAUUAAAAGGCGACGUGGAUCAAAUUUUCAUUGACAUCCUAACGU
Molecule: non-coding RNA, 322 nt
Organism: Cinara cedri
Lineage: Eukaryota; Metazoa; Arthropoda; Insecta; Hemiptera; Aphididae
Source: the annotation of a GenBank genome assembly